UUGACGGGGAGCACUACAACGGGUGGAGCCUGCGGUUUAAUUGGACUCAACGCCGGAAAACUCACCGGGGGCGACAGCAAUAUGUAGGUCAAGCUAAAGACUUUACCAGAAUCGCUGAGAGGAGGUGCAUGGCCGUCGUCAGUUCGUACUGUGAAGCAUCCUGUUAAGUCAGGCAACGAGCGAGACCCGUGCCCACUGUUGCCAGCAUGUCCUUCGGGAUGAUGGGUACUCUGUGGGACCGCCGAUGCUAAAUCGGAGGAAGGUGCGGGCUACGGUAGGUCAGUAUGCCCCGAAUCUCCCGGGCUACACGCGGGCUACAAUGACUGGGACAAUGGGCUCCUACCCCGAAAGGGGAUGGUAAUCUCAUAAACCCAGCCUUAGUUCGGAUCGAGGGCUGUAACCCGCCCUCGUGAAGCUGGAAUCCGUAGUAAUCGCGUUUCAACAUAGCGCGGUGAAUACGUCCCUGCUCCUU
Molecule: ribosomal RNA, 472 nt
Filed under: uncultured Methanomethylovorans sp.
Lineage: Archaea; Methanobacteriati; Methanobacteriota; Methanomicrobia; Methanosarcinales; Methanosarcinaceae
Description: bacterial SSU rRNA
Rfam family: Archaeal small subunit ribosomal RNA
Source: RNAcentral